Long non-coding RNA from Myotis davidii, 81 nucleotides. RefSeq lists it as uncharacterized. Lineage: Eukaryota; Metazoa; Chordata; Mammalia; Chiroptera; Vespertilionidae. The transcript is spliced from 3 exons. The record is from RefSeq and is a predicted model, not a curated record.
GGUUGAGGGAGGCUCACACCAUGUGGAGGUGGAGGCGGGGUUGAGGGAGGCUCACUCCAUGUGGAGGUGGAGGCGGGGUUG